This 301-nucleotide ribosomal RNA is filed under the name uncultured bacterium. RNAcentral's name for it is "partial 16S ribosomal RNA". It matches the Rfam family "Bacterial small subunit ribosomal RNA", at positions 509 to 807 of the family's 1533-position model. The record is from RNAcentral.
CAGUCGCCGCGGUAAUCCGUAGGUGGCAAGCGUUAUUCGGAAUUACUGGGCGUAAAGCGCACGUAGGCGGCUUUGUAAGUUAGAGGUGAAAGCCCAGAGCUCAACUCUGGAAUUGCCUUUAAGACUGCAUCGCUUGAAUCCAGGAGAGGUGAGUGGAAUUCCGAGUGUAGAGGUGAAAUUCGUAGAUAUUCGGAAGAACACCAGUGGCGAAGGCGGCUCACUGGACUGGUAUUGACGCUGAGGUGCGAAAGCGUGGGGAGCAAACAGGAUUAGAUACCCCUGUAGUCCCUGUCUCUUAUAC